UAAACAAGGAAGGUGUAGUCCCCAAAUCC
Molecule: non-coding RNA, 29 nt
Filed under: Mus musculus (house mouse)
Lineage: Eukaryota; Metazoa; Chordata; Mammalia; Rodentia; Muridae
Source: RNAcentral